This 587-nucleotide long non-coding RNA is filed under the name Coffea arabica (coffee). Its description in RNAcentral is "long non-coding RNA (CARA_LNC007727)". Lineage: Eukaryota; Viridiplantae; Streptophyta; Magnoliopsida; Gentianales; Rubiaceae. The record is from RNAcentral.
UAUUGUGUCAAAAGAUGCAAGAUUAGCAAUUCGGCUGUAAAGUGCUUCAACAUUAGCUAGAUUAGCAAUUCAAAAGGCUUCAAGCAAGUUUAGAGUUCAUCAUCACGCUGCUUCUUCAAGGGACUUCCAGGUGCAAAAUUAGUUGGAGCUAAAGUUGAGAGUGCAUUAGUAGGCAGUGAGACAGGUGUAUUAACUUCAGUAGAAUUCAAACCAAUUUCAGAAGGUAUAGUUCCAAAAACCAAGGCCCUCUAAGUAACAAAACACAAGGAAAAAGAAAUAUCUGGGGAAGAACAUGAACAAAAAAGGGCAAAGAAAAACAGCAAAUGUUAAUUCCUGCAUUAGUUUGCUAUACGAACUGUUGCACUAUAAAGUUGUAAUCGGUGAACAUAUAGAAGUCCUAGUCAUUGAUUCUUGACAGCAAACUAUUUGGCUGUCUAAAGAAUGUCAAAGAUGCUAAAUAGGUGCAUACAUAAUUCGAAGUUUAGAGGCAAACACAGCAAGAGCAAUGAUGCACUAUAAACAAAACAAAGUAAUUUUAAUAGGAUAUCAGCAGACACCUAAAACCACAACUGAGCCGAAUGCCAAGU